This is a long non-coding RNA of Cuculus canorus (common cuckoo), 432 nucleotides long. RefSeq lists it as uncharacterized. The transcript is spliced from 5 exons. NCBI's taxonomy places the organism in Eukaryota, Metazoa, Chordata, Aves, Cuculiformes, Cuculidae. The record is from RefSeq and is a predicted model, not a curated record.
UCCGCCUGUUCCCCGGCAUUGAGAAAUCGCCCCCAAGUUAGAUUAUUUGGGGGAAAACCUAUGGCAGCAACAGGAAAGUUCUAGUGUUAAUAACAGAGAGAUUGUGUAAUAGAAAGCUUCACCGUAAAGAGAUGGAGCCGCCCCCAAGGAGAAAGGAUUGCAGAAUUCUUCCAGUCCUCCCUUCUGGAUGUCACCUCCUGAUAAGAGAAGUGUGGAAUCGGAAGGACUGAUUCUGCUCUGUCGGGAGUUGAGGCUUUCUUUGUAAAUGUGGGAAGUAAGAAGGGUUGAUGCUGCUUAAACAGCAGAACAGUGGGACAACAGACAACAGUCUCCCUUCAAGCCCUCUCCCACACAGUGCCAGCCCAAACCUGCGUGCUGAGAUACAGGCUAAACAGUUACUUUUAUUCCAAUUUAACAAAUAUUUUGCAGGUU